This 377-nucleotide ribosomal RNA is filed under the name uncultured bacterium. RNAcentral describes it as "bacterial SSU rRNA". It matches the Rfam family "Bacterial small subunit ribosomal RNA", at positions 521 to 896 of the family's 1533-position model. The record is from RNAcentral.
UAAUACGGAGGUUCCAAGCGUUGUUCGGAAUUACUGGGCGUAAAGGGAGCGCAGGCGGACAGGUCAGUUUAAAGUGGAAUCCCAGGGCUCAACCCUGGACGUGCUUUGGAUACUGCCUGUCUUGAGUUCGUGAGAGGAAAGUGGAAUUCAGGGUGUAGCGGUGAAAUGCUUAGAUAUCCUGAGGAACACCAGUGGCGAAAGCGACUUUCUGGCACGAAACUGACGCUGAGGCUCGAAAGCAUGGGUAGCGAACGGGAUUAGAUACCCCGGUAGUCCAUGCCGUAAACGUUGUAUACUAGGUGCGGGAGGUAUCGACCCCUUCCGUGCCGAAGCUAACGCAUUAAGUAUACCGCCUGGGGAGUACGCGCGCAAGCGUG